Molecule: ribosomal RNA, 493 nt
Filed under: uncultured bacterium
Lineage: Bacteria
Description: bacterial SSU rRNA
Rfam family: Bacterial small subunit ribosomal RNA
Source: RNAcentral
CUAGCUACAGGCUUAACACAUGCAAGUCGAGGGGCAGCAUUGGGAUAGCUUGCUAUCCAGAUGGCGACCGGCGCACGGGUGAGUAACGCGUAUCCAACCUUCCCUAUAGUAGAGAAUAGCCCGGCGAAAGUCGGAUUAAUGCUCUAUGUUGUGUUUUGAGGACAUCUGACGAACACCAAAGGUUCACCGCUAUAGGAUGGGGAUGCGUCUGAUUAGCUUGUUGGCGGGGUAACGGCCCACCAAGGCGACGAUCAGUAGGGGUUCUGAGAGGAAGGUCCCCCACAUUGGUACUGAGACACGGACCAAACUCCUACGGGAGGCAGCAGUGAGGAAUAUUGGUCAAUGGGCGAGAGCCUGAACCAGCCAAGUAGCGUGCAAGGAUGACUGCCCUAUGGGUUGUAAACUGCUUUUAUCAGGGAAUAAAGUGCGGCACGUGUGCCGUUUUGUAUGUACCUGAUGAAUAAGGACCGGCUAAUUCCGUGCCAGCCGCGGC